UCGGCCUUAAGCAGCCACGGCGGCUAUAGUUGCAAGCAAAAUACCGAUUGCUUCCUGGCAUGAAAUUGUCAGCUAAGUUAAAAAAGGGAUGUGGACGCCCUUAUAAACUGUAGUGAACGUGUAAAGGCCCGCGAUAACAAUGUAGAUAUGCGACAUCAGGUGCACUGUCAUUUUGUUGUGACCGCCGGCCACCGCCAAGAAAAUGUCGUUCUUUUGCUAUAAUAUUAACAGCCCUCCACCUUGUAUGCUGUUAUCGCUGAAAGGGACGACUUUGUUACUCACUCCAGUUAGAAGGCUGGGUGAGUACACGUGAAAGGCUUCGUUACGUCAGCGGCACCUGAAGUCGAGCUUCGAAAUUAUUGGACGAAAUCUCUUUCUUAAGCGCUGAAGAAACAAAGCGGGAAGGAAGAUAUAAAGGUGCGUUGCCCAGCCUUCCGAUCACUCGCAAGGCUCUCAGCUGGAUGAAGGCUGCCUGGAAGUUCUUCAGCUCGUCUGUCCUAAAGCACCGUCUCCGAGCCUACCACGACGACGCCAAGAUGCAGCCAUUUUCUGCCGUCGCCAUGAAGCUCUUCUUGUUCGCCGCCGUAUUGGUCGCGAUACUGCUGCUUGCCCAAGGGCAAACUGUUGACUACAUACGCGGUGGAGGAGGGGGAGGUCCCAAACACACUUGAGUCAGCCACGUCGAUGGCACCGUCCGAUUUUACAAGGCUCAACCGACAGCGCUGGCAUGGACGACACAAGGUCAUUCCACUUGGCUGAGCCCUACACAACGAUGCCGUAUCAAUCGUCGUGACCAUUCAAUAAAGGACUUCAACGCUGUAGAAAAAA
This is a non-coding RNA of Dermacentor albipictus, 828 nucleotides long. Lineage: Eukaryota; Metazoa; Arthropoda; Arachnida; Ixodida; Ixodidae. The record is from RefSeq and is a predicted model, not a curated record.